Molecule: ribosomal RNA, 826 nt
Filed under: Tulasnella pruinosa
Lineage: Eukaryota; Fungi; Basidiomycota; Agaricomycetes; Cantharellales; Tulasnellaceae
Description: eukaryotic LSU rRNA
Rfam family: Eukaryotic large subunit ribosomal RNA
Source: RNAcentral
ACUAACAAGGAUUCCCCUAGUAACUGCGAGUGAAGAGGGAAUAGCUCAAUGUGUGAAUCAGGUCGGGAUUAGCUCCUUGCUCGAGUUGUACACUACAGACGGCGGAUCAGCGCUUGGGAGGUCGAGGUGGAUGUCCGAUGAAACUCGGUGCCAUUGAGGGUCAUAGUCCUGUACUUGCCUUGUUACCUCCCGCGCCUUUGACCGACGCUCUGCGAGUCGCGUAGUUUUGUAUUGCUGCGCUAAUCGGGAGGUAGAGCCCUUCUAAAGCUAAAUAUGAUGACAUGACCGAUAGCAUACAAGUACCGCGAGGGAAAGGUGAAAAGCAACCAUGCAGAAUGGGUUGAAACAGAAGUGAAAGCGCUACUGGGAUAAGGGCUGGGGACUGCUUGUGUCGCUUGCGCGUGCUUUAGUGCUGUGCUUGUGAACGGCAUGCUUCAAUUGGGAUGGGGAGAACAGGGCCUCGGGAAUUCGGCCGGAUCCGUCCGGUGUUGCAGCCCGGGUGCCAAUGGAGCCCCUCCCGACUGUUGAGUGUCUUGCGGUUGUCAGCCGCCCGUCUUGAAACACGGACCAAGGAGUGCACCUUGCAUGCGAGUCGAAGGGACUGUAAUCCUGGAGGCGCAGCGAAAGCGAAGGCCACGAACCCUCACGGCGUCGGUGGCACCCGCCUUGUGCGAGGUAGAGCAUGUAGGGUGCGACCCGAAAGAUGGUGAACUAUGCCCGGGUAAGGUGAAGCCAGUGGAAACGCUGGUGGAGGCCUGUAGCGGUUCUGACGUGCAGAUCGAUCGUGUAACCUGGGUAUAGGGCGAAAGACCUAUCGAACCGUCUA